UACGGAGGGGACUAGCGUUGUUCGGAAUUACUGGGCGUAAAGCGCACGUAGGCGGAUUGUUUAGUCAGGGGUGAAAUCCCGAGGCUCAACCUCGGAACUGCCUUUGAUACUGGCAAUCUCGAGUCCGGAAGAGGUGAGUGGAAUUCCUAGUGUAGAGGUGAAAUUCGUAGAUAUUAGGAAGAACACCAGUGGCGAAGGCGCGACUGGCC
Molecule: ribosomal RNA, 209 nt
Filed under: uncultured bacterium
Lineage: Bacteria
Description: partial 16S ribosomal RNA
Rfam family: Bacterial small subunit ribosomal RNA
Source: RNAcentral